This 95-nucleotide ribosomal RNA is filed under the name Acanthosepion pharaonis. The record is from RNAcentral. Lineage: Eukaryota; Metazoa; Mollusca; Cephalopoda; Sepiida; Sepiidae.
ACAUACCGGUUCCAGUACGAUUACCGAAGUUAAGCAACGUCGAGCCUGAUCAGUACUUAGAUGGGUGACAGUUUGGAAAUACCAGAUGCUGUAAG